RNAcentral lists this ribosomal RNA (654 nucleotides) under marine bacterium A5. RNAcentral describes it as "bacterial SSU rRNA". It matches the Rfam family "Bacterial small subunit ribosomal RNA", at positions 49 to 749 of the family's 1533-position model. The record is from RNAcentral.
CUACACAUGCAAGUCGAACGGAUCCUUCGGGAUUAGUGGCAGACGGGUGAGUAACGCGUGGGAAGCUACCUUGUGGUAGGGGACAACAGUUGGAAACGACUGCUAAUACCCUAUGAGCCCUAUGGGGGAAAGAUUUAUCGCCAUGAGAUGUGCCCGCGUUAGAUUAGCUAGUUGGUAAGGUAAUGGCUUACCAAGGCGACGAUCUAUAGCUGGUCUGAGAGGAUGAUCAGCCACACUGGGACUGAGACACGGCCCAGACUCCUACGGGAGGCAGCAGUGGGGAAUAUUGGACAAUGGGGGCAACCCUGAUCCAGCCAUGCCGCGUGUGUGAUGACGGCCUUAGGGUUGUAAAGCACUUUCAGCAGUGAAGAUAAUGACAUUAACUGCAGAAGAAGCCCCGGCUAACUUCGUGCCAGCAGCCGCGGUAAUACGAAGGGGGCUAGCGUUGUUCGGAAUCACUGGGCGUAAAGAGUACGUAGGCGGACUGAUAAGUUAGGGGUGAAAUCCCAAGGCUCAACCUUGGAACUGCCUUUGAUACUGUCAGUCUUGAGAUCGAGAGAGGUGAGUGGAACUCCGAGUGUAGAGGUGAAAUUCGUAGAUAUUCGGAAGAACACCAGUGGCGAAGGCGGCUCACUGGCUCGAUACUGACGCUGA